AUUGAACGCUGGCGGCAGGCUUAACACAUGCAAGUCGAGCGGAUGAAAGUAGCUUGCUACUGGAUUCAGCGGCGGACGGGUGAGUAAUGCUUAGGAAUCUGCCUAUUAGUGGGGGACAACGUUCCGAAAGGAGCGCUAAUACCGCAUACGUCCUACGGGAGAAAGCAGGGGACCUUCGGGCCUUGCGCUAAUAGAUGAGCCUAAGUCGGAUUAGCUAGUUGGUAGGGUAAAGGCCUACCAAGGCGACGAUCUGUAGCGGGUCUGAGAGGAUGAUCCGCCACACUGGGACUGAGACACGGCCCAGACUCCUACGGGAGGCAGCAGUGGGGAAUAUUGGACAAUGGGGGGAACCCUGAUCCAGCCAUGCCGCGUGUGUGAAGAAGGCCUUUUGGUUGUAAAGCACUUUAAGCGAGGAGGAGGCUACCUAGAUUAAUACUUUAGGAUAGUGGACGUUACUCGCAGAAUAAGCACCGGCUAACUCUGUGCCAGCAGCCGCGGUAAUACAGAGGGUGCGAGCGUUAAUCGGAUUUACUGGGCGUAAAGCGUGCGUAGGCGGCCAAUUAAGUCAAAUGUGAAAUCCCCGAGCUUAACUUGGGAAUUGCAUUCGAUACUGGUUGGCUAGAGUAUGGGAGAGGAUGGU
This 640-nucleotide ribosomal RNA is filed under the name Acinetobacter radioresistens WC-A-157. RNAcentral describes it as "bacterial SSU rRNA". It matches the Rfam family "Bacterial small subunit ribosomal RNA", at positions 28 to 662 of the family's 1533-position model. Lineage: Bacteria; Pseudomonadati; Pseudomonadota; Gammaproteobacteria; Moraxellales; Moraxellaceae. The record is from RNAcentral.